AGCUGAGUUUGAUCCUGGCUCAGAUUGAACGCUGGCGGUAUGCCUUACACAUGCAAGUCGAACGGUAGAGGAGCAAUCCUCGAGAGUGGCGAACGGGUGAGUAAUACAUCGGAACGUGCCCAGUCGUGGGGGAUAACGUAGCGAAAGCUACGCUAAUACCGCAUACGACCUGAGGGUGAAAGCGGGGGAUCGCAAGACCUCGCGCGAUAGGAGCGGCCGAUAUCGGAUUAGCUUGUUGGUGAGGUAAAGGCUCACCAAGGCGACGAUCCGUAGCUGGUCUGAGAGGACGACCAGCCACACUGGAACUGAGACACGGUCCAGACUCCUACGGGGAGCAGCAGUGGGGAAUUUUGGACAAUGGGGCGAAAGCCUGAUCCCAGCAAUGCCGCGUGAGUGAUGAAGGCCUUAGGGUUGUAAACGCUCUUUUAACCGAGGGAUGAUAAUGACAGUACCUGGAG
Molecule: ribosomal RNA, 458 nt
Filed under: uncultured Sphaerotilus sp.
Lineage: Bacteria; Pseudomonadati; Pseudomonadota; Betaproteobacteria; Burkholderiales; Sphaerotilaceae
Description: bacterial SSU rRNA
Rfam family: Bacterial small subunit ribosomal RNA
Source: RNAcentral